RNAcentral lists this long non-coding RNA (236 nucleotides) under Capra hircus (goat). RNAcentral describes it as "lncRNA (ENSCHIG00000004848.1)". Lineage: Eukaryota; Metazoa; Chordata; Mammalia; Artiodactyla; Bovidae. The record is from RNAcentral.
CAUUUACCAAAGCCUAGCUCAAGAUACCUUCAGAAAUUGCACUGAAGUCUUGUUUGAAAGCUUAAAUGCUGUAGAUAGAUCAACACUGCGGAAAAACUAAUGGAAGGCUGGUGGGUUGCUAGUAGCGUCCAAGGUGACACCCUGGUGAAUGGACGAACUGUCUCUUCACCAACACGGCAUUUGUGAGCCAUCCAGUAAGAGAUUCCACACCAAACUUCCAUGACCUUUUAAACCCA